RNAcentral lists this ribosomal RNA (815 nucleotides) under uncultured bacterium. RNAcentral describes it as "bacterial SSU rRNA". It matches the Rfam family "Bacterial small subunit ribosomal RNA", at positions 8 to 796 of the family's 1533-position model. The record is from RNAcentral.
AGAGUUUGAUCAUGGCUCAGAACGAACGCUGGCGGCGUGGAUAAGACAUGCAAGUCGAGCGCUGAUUACAGGGUAGCAAUAUUCUGUAGUCGGAGCGGCGCAAGGGUGCGUAACACGUGGGUAAUCUGCCAUGAAGUUUGGGAUAACUUGCUGAAAGGCGAGCUAAUACCGGAUGUGAAAAUUGGGAGGCAUCUUCUGAUUUUCAAAGCUGGGGACCGUAAGGCCUGGCGCUUCAUGAUGAGCCCGCGGCCUAUCAGCUAGUUGGUAAGGUAACGGCUUACCAAGGCUAAGACGGGUAGCUGGUCUGAGAGGACGACCAGCCACACUGGAACUGAGACACGGUCCAGACACCUACGGGUGGCAGCAGUCGAGAAUUUUUCACAAUGGGCGCAAGCCUGAUGGAGCGACGCCGCGUGGGGGAUGAAUGGCUUCGGCCCGUAAACCCCUGUCAUUUGCGAUCAAACCUUGUUAUUUAAAAGAUGACGAGCUGAUAGUAGCGAAAGAGGAAGGGACGGCUAACUCUGUGCCAGCAGCCGCGGUAAUACAGAGGUCCCAAGCGUUGUUCGGAUUCACUGGGCGUAAAGGGUGCGUAGGUGGCGAGGUAAGUCGGAUGUGAAAGCUCGGAGCUCAACUCCGAAAUGGCAUUGGAAACUACCUUGCUCGAGGGUCGGAGGGGGGACUGGAAUACUUGGUGUAGCAGUGAAAUGCGUAGAUAUCAAGUGGAACACCAGUGGCGAAGGCGAGUCCCUGGACGACUCCUGACACUGAGGCACGAAAGCUAGGGGAGCAAACAGGAUUAGAUACCCUGGUAGUCC